This is a small nucleolar RNA of Caenorhabditis elegans, 190 nucleotides long. NCBI's taxonomy places the organism in Eukaryota, Metazoa, Nematoda, Chromadorea, Rhabditida, Rhabditidae. The record is from Ensembl.
UCCGCCGUUUUUUCUGUUUUCCUGCUCAAUUUAGCCUUGUUCUUUGAUUCUUUAUCGUGUAUUUUACUAUCUACACUUGCGGGGGCUUUGAUAACGGGGGUUUAGUGGUCGGAAAUUUUUUUUUCGAAAAUCGUUCGCCGGAAACUCAAUUUCAAAAUUGUUGGUUUUUAAGUUUAAGGAGUUGUUUAAG